This 325-nucleotide long non-coding RNA is filed under the name Phaseolus vulgaris (common bean). Its description in RNAcentral is "long non-coding RNA (PVUL_LNC001002)". The record is from RNAcentral. Lineage: Eukaryota; Viridiplantae; Streptophyta; Magnoliopsida; Fabales; Fabaceae.
AUAAGCAGGCCUAUUUGGUAGGCUUGCCCCCGGUAUAAAGUCAAUUUGAUGUUCUAUCCCCCUAAGAGGAGGAAGCCCAAUGGGUCCUUCUUGGGAGAAUAGAUCUUCAAAUUCACUCAAAAGGUUUUCUACUUGAGGAGGUAAAACCAUGAGUUCACUACUUGUGGCAGUGCAUGUAAGUGCUCCUUUACAAAAGAUAAGGCUUGGUUGUUCAACAAGAAGCAAGUUUUCAAAAACAUUUUCAAGAGGUUUUUCUUGUUGACCAACCUUGUGGGAAGGAACACUCUUCUCCCACGCCUUUCUAUCCCUAAGGAUUUUCUCUUUU